This 350-nucleotide long non-coding RNA is filed under the name Physcomitrium patens. RNAcentral describes it as "long non-coding RNA (PPAT_LNC013109)". The record is from RNAcentral. Lineage: Eukaryota; Viridiplantae; Streptophyta; Bryopsida; Funariales; Funariaceae.
UUUAUAUGAAUGAGAUAUAGGUGCUUAAAGUUAAGGUGUUGAUUUAGGAGCUAUUGUCACUCUUUUUGACAUAAUGCAUGCAUACGGAAGACAAUUGAGGAUCAGCAACUGCAAUUGAAGAGAGCACUUUUGCGGCUACACUUUUUGCAUACUACUUGCUGGAUUCUAAGUUGGAAUAAAGGAGAUAUUGGAUUUUGAAGUCAGCACAUGCAAUCUAAGAGUAGUAAGUGACCUGAUUUACAAGUGGUUGUAUCUUGAGCUAUAUCUUAAGCAAUUUAACAAGGUUUUGGCUCAAAAUUUCAAGAAAUGUGUAUAUUCAUGUUAAUAAACUUGAUACAUAAGUUUGAUGG